AACAAACGCUGGCGGCGUGCCUAACACAUGCAAGUCGUACGAGAAAGGGUCCUUCGGGAUCUGAGUAAAGUGGCGCACGGGUGAGUAACGCGUGGAUAAUCUGCCCUUCAGUUGGGAAUAACUCAUCGAAAGGUGGGCUAAUACCGAAUAAUACUGUGAGACCUCGGUCGAUCAGUCAAGGAGAACCUCUGCUUGCAUGCCCUGGCUGAAGAAGGAUUCGGGGUACCAUUAGCUAGUUGGUAGGGUAAUAGCCUACCAAGGCGACGAUGGUUAGCUGGUCUGAGAGGUUGAUCAGCCACACUGGAACUGAGACACGGUCCAGACUCCUACGGGAGGCAGCAGUGAGGAAUCUUGCGCAAUGGGGGAAACCCUGACGCAGCAACGCCGCGUGAGUGAGGAAGGUCUUCGGAUUGUAAAGCUCUGUCGGAUGGAAAGAACCGCAUAGGGGUAAAUAGCGCCUAUGUCUGACGGUACCAUCAAAGGAAGCACCGGCUAACUCCGUGCCAGCCGCCGCUGUAA
Molecule: ribosomal RNA, 519 nt
Filed under: uncultured bacterium
Lineage: Bacteria
Description: partial 16S ribosomal RNA
Rfam family: Bacterial small subunit ribosomal RNA
Source: RNAcentral